This 590-nucleotide ribosomal RNA is filed under the name Sporisorium pulverulentum. RNAcentral describes it as "eukaryotic LSU rRNA". It matches the Rfam family "Eukaryotic large subunit ribosomal RNA", at positions 82 to 654 of the family's 3401-position model. The record is from RNAcentral. Lineage: Eukaryota; Fungi; Basidiomycota; Ustilaginomycetes; Ustilaginales; Ustilaginaceae.
AGUACGGCGAGUGAGAGGGAAGAGCCCAAGAUUGAAAGCUGGCGUCUUCGGCGUCCGCAUUGUAAUCUCAAGAAGUGUUUUCCGCUUCGGACCAUGCCUAAGUCCCCUGGAAAGGGGCAUCAUAGAGGGUGAUAAUCCCGUACAUGGCAUGGAGCGCCCGAAGCUUUGUGAUACGCUUUCUAAGAGUCGAGUUGUUUGGGAAUGCAGCUCAAAAUGGGUGGUAAAUGCCAUCUAAGGCUAAAUAUUGGGGAGAGACCGAUAGCGAACAAGUACAGUGAUGGAAAGAUGAAAAGAACUUUGAAAAGAGAGUUAAACAGUACGUGAAAUUGCCAAAAGGGAAGGGUAGGAGGUCAGAGAUGCGUCUUGGGAUUCAGCCUUGCUUCUGCUUGGUGUUUUUCCCAAGUUUGCAGGCCAACGUCGGUUUUGGGCACUGGAGAAGGGUAGAAGGAACGUGGCACCUCUCGGGGUGUGUUAUAGCCUUCUACUGGAUACAGCGACCGAGACCGAGGACAGCAGCGUACUCGCAAGAGCGGGCCUUCGGGCACCUUUACGCUUAGGGCGUUGGCAUAAUGGCCCUCUACCACCCGUCU